Long non-coding RNA from Passer domesticus (house sparrow), 640 nucleotides. RefSeq lists it as uncharacterized. The transcript has 2 exons. The record is from RefSeq and is a predicted model, not a curated record. Lineage: Eukaryota; Metazoa; Chordata; Aves; Passeriformes; Passeridae.
GCCGGGCCCGGCCCGCCGCCGCCUGCCCGCAAUGAGGGGUCCGCGGCACCCACCGGAAAACUGCAUUUCUGUUUUUUUUCCUUCCGUGUCUGGGACAGCCCUGGAGACAGUAAAUGUCUGUGGGCGAUGGUCCACAGGUGAAACCUCUGCCCUGCUGGAGAAUGUGACAGUGAUCCAUGUAGUUUCUAAUCAGUUGAAGUCCCUUGUCACUCAAGUCAAGCUACGCCACAAUGCACCAACAGCAAAUGAUGCCUGAGGAGACAUUAUGAACCUGCCUGUGGAAAGAGCCUGUGCACGUCUCGGGGAGUAUCUCUUCUUCUGGGAUCUCUCCAGCACUGCUGUGCCAAGCUACAGCUCAUAUUUGUAGGUGCCAGUACACUAAAUAAGGCCAGUUCAUGGGAGAAAAGCAGAUUUAGUCUAAUUUCUCUUCACCAGACAUCUAUCUGAAAUAAAGUGUUCUUGACGGUAGAUGAGGGUGUGUGAGCACACCCCGUUAAGGAUAGGGUGGAACCAGGAUGUUGCCUGCCUGAGAAUGUGAAGCAGCCGCUUGGCAAAGCACACAACCCCUGGAGACAUGCCCAGAAAACUGGAGCACCCCACAAAAGAAAUAAAGCAAACAAAUAAAAAAAUGCAAGCAGAA